UACGGGGGGGGCAAGCGUUGUUCGGAAUUACUGGGCGUAAAGGGCGCGUAGGCGGUUCGCUAAGUUGGAUGUGAAAACUCUGGGCUUAACCCAGAGCCUGCAUCCAAAACUGGCGAACUGGAGUACUGGAGGGGAAAGCGGAAUUCCUGGUGUAGCGGUGAAAUGCGUAGAUAUCAGGAGGAACACCGGUGGCGAAGGCGGGUCUCUGGGCCGAUACUGACGCUGAGGAGCGAAAGCGUGGGGAGCGAACAGG
Molecule: ribosomal RNA, 253 nt
Filed under: uncultured bacterium
Lineage: Bacteria
Description: partial 16S ribosomal RNA
Rfam family: Bacterial small subunit ribosomal RNA
Source: RNAcentral